CUAUUCUGAAUGCUUGUAAGAUGCAGGGACAGUGUUGACCUCUGUAUUUAUCUCUAUACUACUUUAUGUGUGAAGGGUUUUGUUAGGUAUUAAAAAAAAAAAGUUUAUGUAGCUCUUAAUUCUGCUCUGAAAUUGCAGGAGAUGAGAGGUGCGGAGUCUGGUGUUCUAUUACUAAACUGCAAAGCCCACCAAGCCUGUUUAAAGAUGUCCAGCCUGAGACCCUACCUAUACCUGUAUUGCCCCUGCCAGAGAAGGACCCCGAGUGGCCUGCUUUUGACAUAAUCCCUGGGUCUCCACAAUCAGCUUGGUGCUUCUCCUGUUCUGCUUUGUAAAUGGAUGCCUUCCACCUGAAAGUAAAAUGGCUCUCCUAGUUCCUAAAGACUGUCAAGGUACAGUGAGAUCAUGACUAUCCUAGAAUUCAUAUAGCAAUUCCUGGUAAAAACCUCUCUGUCAAAGCAGGAACCUUCAUUCAUUCCAG
RNAcentral lists this long non-coding RNA (478 nucleotides) under Anser brachyrhynchus (Pink-footed goose). RNAcentral's name for it is "lncRNA (ENSABRG00000000683.1)". The record is from RNAcentral. Lineage: Eukaryota; Metazoa; Chordata; Aves; Anseriformes; Anatidae.